Molecule: ribosomal RNA, 440 nt
Filed under: uncultured bacterium
Lineage: Bacteria
Description: partial 16S ribosomal RNA
Rfam family: Bacterial small subunit ribosomal RNA
Source: RNAcentral
CCUACGGGAGGCAGCAGUGGGGAAUAUUGCACAAUGGGGGCAACCCUGAUGCAGCGACGCCGCGUGAGCGAUGAAGUAUUUCGGUAUGUAAAGCUCUAUCAGCAGGGAAGAAAAUGACGGUACCUGACUAAGAAGCCCCGGCUAACUACGUGCCAGCAGCCGCGGUAAUCCGUAGGGGGCAAGCGUUAUCCGGAUUUACUGGGUGUAAAGGGAGCGUAGACGGUCCUGCAAGCCAGAUGUGAAAGCUCGGGGGUCAACCCCGGGAGUGCAUUUGGAACUGUAAGGCUAGAGUGUCGGAGAGGCAGGCGGAAUUCGUAGUGUAGCGGUGAAAUGCGUAGAUAUUAGGAGGAACGCCAGUGGCGAAGGCGGCCUGCUGGACGAUGACUGACGCUGAGGCUCGAAAGCGUGGGGAGCGAACAGGAUUAGAUACCCUUGUAGUC